GACGAACGUUGGCGGCGUGCUUAACACAUGCAAGUCGAACGGACAGGCCCUGCUUUUGUGGGGUGCUCGAGUGGCGAACGGGUGAGUAACACGUGAGUAAACUGCCCUUGACUUUGGGAUAACUUCAGGAAACUGGGGCUCAUACCGGAUAGGAGCUCCUGCUGCAUGGUGGGGGUUGGAAAGUUUCGGCGGUUGGGGAUGGACUCGCGGCUUAUCAGCUUGUUGGGGGGGUAGUGGCUUACCAAGGCUUUGACGGGUAGCCGGCCUGAGAGGGUGACCGGCCACAUUGGGACUGAGAUACGGCCCAGACUCCUACGGUAGGCAGCAGUGGGGAAUAUUGCACAAUGGGCGGAAGCCUGAUGCAGCAACGCCGCGUGCGGGAUGACGGCCUUCGGGUUGUAAACCGCUUUCGCCUGUGACGAAGCGGGAGUGACGGUAAUGGGUAAAGAAGCACCGGCUAACUACGUG
Molecule: ribosomal RNA, 468 nt
Filed under: uncultured bacterium
Lineage: Bacteria
Description: partial 16S ribosomal RNA
Rfam family: Bacterial small subunit ribosomal RNA
Source: RNAcentral